ACAGCCCUUACAAGUUCGUAGUGGGAAAUACUGGGAGUCACAACUUGGCGGGAAGCAACGACCACUCUCUACGAUGAAACCUUCGGCGACUGAGGCGGCAAUUCGAAUAAGCCGAGCUCUAAUCGCAGCUUCAAACCAGUCGAGACCCACUCGAUCAUGGAGCCCUUCACUGGAGCAGACUCUACAUCGACUCGAGUGCCACGAAUUGCUGAGUCCCUCACUCGUAGCCCGAGUCAUCGACCCCUUCCUCCUUCACCAUCAUUCACUCGCUCUCGGUUUCUUCUAUUGGGCUUCUCAGAAACCAGGGUUUGCUCACACUUCCAUCAGCUAUCAAUCAGUCCUUAAGUCUCUCUCCAUUUCCCGCCAAUUCAAUGCGGUUGAAAGGCUCUUGAAAGAUGUGAAAGCCCAGAAAAUUGUGCUUGAUUCUUCGGUUUAUCGAUCAGUGAUUGCCUCACAGAUUAUAGGGAAGAGAACCCAAAAUGCUUUCUUGAUAUUUAAUGAAGUUAGCGCGCUUAGUCGCGAGAUUGGACCAGAUACGUGCAACUCCCUUGUUGCUGCUCUUGCAUCUGAUGGGUGUGUUGUUUAUGCCCAAAGAGUGUUUGAUGAAAUGAUUCAUCACGGUGUCCCUUUGAAUUCUCUUGGAUUUGGUGUUUUCAUAUUGAGGUUUUGUAGAAAUGCUGAGUUGGGUACUACUUUAAGUCUGUUAGACGAGGUUACAAAGCAUGCUUCCGAAAUUAACGGGUCCAUUAUUGCACUUUUAAUCAUUCACGGGCUUUGUCAGGUCUCCAGGGUGUCAGAAGCUUUUGAGUUACUGGAGGAGUUAAGGAGCAGGGAAUGUAAACCUGAUUUUAUGGCGUAUCGGAUUGUUACUGAGGCAUUUAGAUUGAAGGGAAGUGUGGCUGAAGUGGAGAAGGUCUUGAAGAAGAAGAGAAAGCUUGGGGUAGCUCCAAGGGAGAAUGAUUAUAGGGAGUUUAUCUUUGGUUUGAUUUCAGAGAGACGGAUACCUGAAGCAAAGGAAUUGGGUGAAGUGAUUAUAAAUGGGAAUUUCCCAAUUGGGAAUGAUGUUCUUAAUGCAUUGGUAGGAUCUGUUUCAUCUAUUGAUCCUGGUUCUGCAAUGUUGUUUUUCAAGUUCAUGAUUUCAAAAGAAAGUUUUCCAACUCUGCUAACUUUGAGCAAUUUGGGUAGAAAUCUUUGUAAGCGUGGAAAAGCCGAUGAAUUACUGGAGGUUUUUCAUAUUUUGUCUUCUAGAAACUACUUCUCAGAUUUGGAGACUUACAGUGUGAUGGUUUCAUUCUUGUGCAAGGCUGGGAGAGUGAGAGAAGCUUAUGGGGUUCUUCAGGAGAUGAAGAAGAAUGGGCUGGAUCCAGAUAUAUCAUCCUAUAAUUGUCUAAUGGAAGCAUGCUGUAGAGAGGAUCUAUUGCGCCCUGCAAAAAGGCUUUGGGAUGAGAUGUUUGCAAGUGGAUAUGGUGUAAAUUUGAAGACUUACAACAUCCUUAUCCAAAAGUUCUCAGAAAUAGGCCAAAUUCAAGAGGCUCAGUGGCUCUUUCAACAUAUGUUGGAGAAAGGAGUAAACCCUGAUGCUACAACCUACACAUCCCUGCUUGAGGGGCUUUGUCAGGAGAAGAAAUUUGAAUCUGCUUUUGAAGUUUUCAAGAAGUCUGUUGAACAGGAUGUAAUGCUUGCACAAACAAUAUUAAAUACAUUUAUUCUUUACAUCUGCAAAGAAGGUAAUUUUCUUUUUGCUUCCAAGUUGCUCUGUGGUCUCACUUAUGAUGUAGGACAUUCAGACUCCCAUGUGAUUUUCCUGAAAUAUUUAGCUGAUGCUAGUGAGAUUUCAACUGCCAUUGAACAUAUAAAAUGGGUUGGAGAUACCUUGCCUUCAAUGUUGCCAACAAUAUCUACAGAGCUUUUUGCAUUGCUUGCUUCUUCUUCAAAACCAGAGCCAAUCCUAAAAAUGCUUCUAGCAAUGCAGGAGAAGUCUCCAGUUCCUUACAAUGAUAGUUGGAAAGAACUUAGCAACCAAUUGUUCACUGGCCAUAGUUUGGGAACAAAUUGAAGGUUGUGUCUUACUUUUAACCAUAAAUAUUGGCUCCUAAGUAUGGUAAUAAGGGGUCAACAAAUCCAGGUUUACAGCAGGUCGGUCAUGCAAUCAAGAAAUGCUACAAACUUCAUGGCUAUCCCCCUGGACAUCGAUUUCACAAGGAAUCAUUUCAACCAGC
Vitis riparia (riverbank grape) is the source of this 2219-nucleotide RNA transcript. It is a transcript of the gene named pentatricopeptide repeat-containing protein At5g14080, with no coding region annotated. NCBI's taxonomy places the organism in Eukaryota, Viridiplantae, Streptophyta, Magnoliopsida, Vitales, Vitaceae. The transcript is spliced from 3 exons. The record is from RefSeq and is a predicted model, not a curated record.